Molecule: ribosomal RNA, 492 nt
Filed under: uncultured bacterium
Lineage: Bacteria
Description: partial 16S ribosomal RNA
Rfam family: Bacterial small subunit ribosomal RNA
Source: RNAcentral
AGUGAACGCUGGCGGUAGGCCUAACACAUGCAAGUCGAACGGCAGCACAGUAAGAGCUUGCUCUUACGGGUGGCGAGUGGCGGACGGGUGAGGAAUACAUCGGAAUCUACUUUUUCGUGGGGGAUAACGUAGGGAAACUUACGCUAAUACCGCAUACGACCUACGGGUGAAAGCAGGGGAUCUUCGGACCUUGCGCGAUUGAAUGAGCCGAUGUCGGAUUAGCUAGUUGGCGGGGUAAAGGCCCACCAAGGCGACGAUCCGUAGCUGGUCUGAGAGGAUGAUCAGCCACACUGGAACUGAGACACGGUCCAGACUCCUACGGGAGGCAGCAGUGGGGAAUAUUGGACAAUGGGCGCAAGCCUGAUCCAGCCAUACCGCGUGGGUGAAGAAGGCCUUCGAGUUGUAAAGCCCUUUUGUUGGGAAAGAAAAGCAGCAGGUUAAUAUCCCGCUGUUCUGACGGUACCCAAAGAAUAAGCACCGGCUAACUUCGUG